Long non-coding RNA from Aedes aegypti (yellow fever mosquito), 1257 nucleotides. RefSeq lists it as uncharacterized. The transcript is spliced from 2 exons. The record is from RefSeq and is a predicted model, not a curated record. NCBI's taxonomy places the organism in Eukaryota, Metazoa, Arthropoda, Insecta, Diptera, Culicidae.
CCCUCCUACGAUGCCCAAUCUUCGACCACCGUUUUCUCAACCCACUGCGCCUCCACCCGCCACCGAGCCAAAUAAUCAUCCGCCGUAUCCGUCGACCUCAAGCUGUCCAGGAAUCCAACAAAGUCCAUCGCCUCACCAACAACCCAAUACGACUCCUCCAGGAAACAGACUCUCAUCGCAACAAACACCAAACGAAACAAUCCAGGACCACAUUGAAGAACCGAUUCAUAAUAUCAGCAAUCCAGAACAUCAUUCCGAAAGCACAUCGUCCGAAAGAAACGAAUUUGACAACACAACUAGCAUCCAGCAGAUAAUUCCAUCAGAGCAGAAGAUGUACCGUUCCAUCCCGUAUGUUCCAUCGCUAUCAGAACGCAUCACCUAAAUCUUGAGCAAAGAUUAUCCUAAUAUAGCAAUAGCCACCAGACAGAUCCGUACCAUAAAAGCAAUCCACAGCAAAGUAAAAUUUCCUGUAAGUAAAGAAGAACAAAGUAACAUCAUCUACAAAAUUCCUUGCAACAACUGCGAAGGUUGUUACAUAGGAAUGACCAAAAAUAAUCUACGUAAACGACUAGCAGGACAUAAAUCAAACAUCAACAAACUAGACAGAUUGUUAAAUUCACACCACACAGACACAGCAGUAACAGCUUUAUCAGAAACCACAACAGCUUUAAUAACACAUAGUGUAGAAAGAUGUCACACAUUCAAUCUAGACCACACAAAGAUCAUAGACCAUAGUUAUAAAACCAAUACACUGCCUUUCUUGGAAAUGUGCCACAUAUCUAACACAGACAACACAGUCAACAAACGUACAGAUGUAGAAGGAUUGAACACUACAUAUGCAGCCUUACUUCAUAGUAUUAAGAAUUUUACCCACUGCGAAAUUAGACGAGAUUGAUAGAAGGAAAUAAUUCACACUGAGAAAUGUUUCAUGCAAGAGAAAACCGUUGCAACAAAUAACAGUGAAGGUCCAACUAAGAAUUCUACAGAUAAAGCGCGCAAAUUGUUUCGAAAAAUAGCUUGAAAUAUCCUAAAGUUCAUUGCAAUUGAGUGUAAGUUUAUUUAAAAGUUCAUCAGUGAUUCUCAAACGAAAAAUAACGAUCUUUCGCCAAAUUUACAGCAUGUACUAAAAAUUAUUACACUUGACAGUUAAAGUUAGCCACAACCCUAGACACAAAACGAACGUAUCAUUUUUCCCCUGAAGAAGACGCCAUACCAGCGUCGAAACGUCGGGUUAAAUAAUAAAACUCGUUUUUAACA